AAAGUUUUUCGGUCUGGGAUGGACUCGCGGCCUAUCAGCUUGUUGGUGAGGUAAUGGCUCACCAAGGCGACGACGGGUAGCCGGCCUGAGAGGGCGACCGGCCACACUGGAACUGAGACACGGUCCAGACUCCUACGGGAGGCAGCAGUGGGGAAUAUUGCACAAUGGGCGCAAGCCUGAUGCAGCGACGCCGCGUGGGGGAUGAAGGCCUUCGGGUUGUAAACCCCUUUCAGCAGGGAAGAAGCGAGAGUGACGGUACCUGCAGAAGAAGCGCCGGCUAACUACGUGCCAGCAGCCGCGGUAAUACGUAGGGCGCAAGCGUUGUCCGGAAUUAUUGGGCGUAAAGAGCUCGUAGGCGGUUUGUCGCGUCUGCUGUGAAAUCCCGAGGCUCAACCUCGGGCCUGCAGUGGGUACGGGCAGACUAGAGUGUGGUAGGGGAGACUGGAAUUCCUGGUGUAGCGGUGGAAUGCGCAGAUAUCAGGAGGAACACCGAUGGCGAAGGCAGGUCUCUGGGCCACAACUGACGCUGAGGAGCGAAAGCGUGGGGAGCGAACAGGAUUAGAUACCCUGGUAGUCCACGCCGUAAACGGUGGGCACUAGAUGUGGGGCUCUUUCCAUGAGUUCCGCGUCGCAGCUAACGCAUUAAGUGCCCCGCCUGGGGAGUACGGCCGCAAGGCUAAAACUCAAAGGAAUUGACGGGGGCCCGCACAAGCGGCGGAGCAUGCGGAUUAAUUCGAUGCAACGCGAAGAACCUUACCAAGGCUUGACAUAUACCCUCUAUCCCCAGAGAUGGGGAGUGCUUCGGCGGGGUAUACAGGUGGUGCAUGGUUGUCGUCAGCUCGUGUCGUGAGAUGUUGGGUUAAGUCCCGCAACGAGCGCAACCCUCGUCCUAUGUUGCCAGCACGUGAUGGUGGGGACUCAUAGGAGACUGCCGGGGUCAACUCGGAGGAAGGUGGGGAUGACGUCAAAUCAUCAUGCCCCUUAUGUCUUGGGCUUCACGCAUGCUACAAUGGCCGGUACAAUGGGCUGCGAUACCGUAAGGUGGAGCGAAUCCCAAAAAGCCGGUCUCAGUUCGGAUUGAGGUCUGCAACUCGACCUCAUGAAGUCGGAGUCGCUAGUAAUCGCAGAUCAGCAACGCUGCGGUGAAUACGUUCCCGGGCCUUGUACACACCGCCCGUCAAGUCACGAAAGUCGGUAACACCCGAAGCCAGUGGCCCAACUCUUAGGAGAGGGAGCUGUCUAAGGUGGGAUUGGCGAUUGGGACUAAGUCGUAACAAGGUAGCCGUACCGGAAGGUGCGGCUG
Molecule: ribosomal RNA, 1303 nt
Filed under: Demequina maris
Lineage: Bacteria; Bacillati; Actinomycetota; Actinomycetes; Micrococcales; Demequinaceae
Description: bacterial SSU rRNA
Rfam family: Bacterial small subunit ribosomal RNA
Source: RNAcentral